RNAcentral lists this transfer RNA (75 nucleotides) under Micromonospora craterilacus. It matches the Rfam family "tRNA". From Rfam's summary of the family: Transfer RNA (tRNA) molecules are approximately 80 nucleotides in length. Their secondary structure includes four short double-helical elements and three loops (D, anti-codon, and T loops). Lineage: Bacteria; Bacillati; Actinomycetota; Actinomycetes; Micromonosporales; Micromonosporaceae. The record is from Rfam by way of RNAcentral.
GCCCUCGUAGUCCAAGUGGCAGGAGACAACGGUCAGAGACGCCGUGCAGUGCAGGUUCGAAUCCUGUCGGGGGCA